GUUUAUGCUGUUUUCCUAUAUGCCUACUCACCUUAUGCUCACAGUUGUAAUUCUACUAGCUUCUCCUCGAUUUCUGAUUUAGCUUACUCUUCAGCUGAAUUCCUGUCUGCUUUGACCAGUCUCUGUACUGCCUCUAGAGAAGCUAAGAGAAGGGCUCUGGUCAUUUUUUAUUUUCUCCUGCUUUUUAGUAUUUCACUAGUGUCAGAAGAAAGAGGUUCUACCCUGACUGAUAGAGAAUCAGCUAGUUACUGUUUAUGGAUAACAAUGCCUGCAGAUUUUUAGUGAAGCUGAAAUGCUAUGGUACAUUUCCUUUCCCUUAAAUAUGCCACCCUGCAGGACUGGCAGAUGAGAUCUACUCUGCUAAAACCAGCCCAGAAACAAGGGCGGCCGAGGCCUGCUUCACUCCCCUUGGUCCCUUGCAGUAGCCUCGGGCUCAGGACAGAUCUCUCUUCUUUCUGCUCUAGUGCUGUUGGCACAGCUUGUGGCAGCCUAAUGCACCCAGGGCUUCGUGGGAUGACUUCAGGCUAGUUCACUAGGCUCAUCUGCUGUUAGAACAGUCAUUUCUCCGAAAGCAUCUGAGGGCACAACUCUAAGAACCUGGGGGCAGGGACCAGGUCUCAGGUUUGUCUGCCUCUCUGGUACCCAAUGUAACACUGCUCCGCCAGGGCCCUCAGGCUGACUGAAGGCAGCCCCACAGGAGGUUUCGGCAGUACCACUCAGUGAUCACAGAGCUCCCAAACCUUGAGCCUGCCUGGAAAACACACUGUCUGUUAGUAGCCUUUGAAAACGCACCAUGGGGCUUCCCUGGUGGUGCAGUGGUUAAGAAUCCGCCUGCCAAUGCAGGGGACACAAGUUCGAGCCCUGGCCCUGGAGGAUCCCACAUGCCACGGAGCAACUAAGCCCGUGCACCACAACUAACUACUGAGCCUGUGCUCUAGAGUCUGCGAGCCAUAACUACUGACCCCGCGUGCCUAGAGCUUGUGCUCUGCAACAAGAGAAGCCACCGCGAUGAGAAACCCGCUCACUGCAAUGAAGAGUAGCCCCCGCUCGCCGCAACUAGAGAAAGCCCGUGCACAGCAACAAAGACCCAACGCAGCCAAAAAUAAAAAUAAAAAUAAUUCAUAAAGAAAAGCACCAUGUUAUUUUAUCAACUUGAAAUAAGGGGAAGGGCUGCUUUUUUUUUU
Long non-coding RNA from Balaenoptera acutorostrata (minke whale), 1184 nucleotides. RefSeq lists it as uncharacterized. The record is from RefSeq and is a predicted model, not a curated record. Lineage: Eukaryota; Metazoa; Chordata; Mammalia; Artiodactyla; Balaenopteridae. The transcript is spliced from 3 exons.